AAUACGUGAUGUGGGCAUGCUCUCAUUAGCUCCUUAAAUCGCCCCCAUGCUUUGAAGAGCGAUUCACAGUCUGUCUGCCAAAAGUAAGUAAUUUGGUUCCUAAGUU
This is a small nucleolar RNA of Vicia villosa (hairy vetch), 106 nucleotides long. NCBI's taxonomy places the organism in Eukaryota, Viridiplantae, Streptophyta, Magnoliopsida, Fabales, Fabaceae. The record is from RefSeq and is a predicted model, not a curated record.